This 301-nucleotide ribosomal RNA is filed under the name uncultured bacterium. Its description in RNAcentral is "partial 16S ribosomal RNA". It matches the Rfam family "Bacterial small subunit ribosomal RNA", at positions 509 to 807 of the family's 1533-position model. The record is from RNAcentral.
CAGCCGCCGCGGGAAUACGAAGGGGGCUAGCGUUGUUCGGAAUUACUGGGCGUAAAGCGCACGUAGGCGGAUAUUUAAGUCAGGGGUGAAAUCCCGCAGCUCAACUGCGGAACUGCCUUUGAUACUGGGUAUCUUGAGUAUGGAAGAGGUUAGUGGAAUUGCGAGUGUAGAGGUGAAAUUCGUAGAUAUUCGCAGGAACACCAGUGGCGAAGGCGGCUAACUGGUCCAUAACUGACGCUGAGGUGCGAAAGCGUGGGGAGCAAACAGGAUUAGAUACCCCAGUAGUCCCUGUCUCUUAUAC